This 37-nucleotide transfer RNA is filed under the name Crocidura musseri. RNAcentral's name for it is "partial tRNA-Thr". Lineage: Eukaryota; Metazoa; Chordata; Mammalia; Eulipotyphla; Soricidae. The record is from RNAcentral.
ACAGAGCCUUAGUAGUACAACCAAUACACUGGUCUUG